UAGGGUAUAGCCCAGUGGUUGAGUGCAUGCUUAGCAUGCAUGAGGUCCUGGGAUCAAUUCCCAGUACUCCAU
RNAcentral lists this transfer RNA (72 nucleotides) under Camelus ferus (Wild Bactrian camel). It matches the Rfam family "tRNA". Rfam says of the family: Transfer RNA (tRNA) molecules are approximately 80 nucleotides in length. Their secondary structure includes four short double-helical elements and three loops (D, anti-codon, and T loops). The record is from Rfam by way of RNAcentral. Lineage: Eukaryota; Metazoa; Chordata; Mammalia; Artiodactyla; Camelidae.